RNAcentral lists this ribosomal RNA (432 nucleotides) under uncultured bacterium. Its description in RNAcentral is "partial 16S ribosomal RNA". It matches the Rfam family "Bacterial small subunit ribosomal RNA", at positions 29 to 506 of the family's 1533-position model. The record is from RNAcentral.
AACGAACGCUGGCGGCAUGCCUAACACAUGCAAGUCGAACGAGACCUUCGGGUCUAGUGGCGCACGGGUGCGUAACGCGUGGGAACCUGCCCUUAGGUUCGGAAUAACUCCCCGAAAGGGGUGUUAAUACCGGAUAAUGUCUUCGGACCAAAGAUUUAUCGCCUUUGGAUGGGCCCGCGUUGGAUUAGCUAGUUGGUAGGGUAAAAGCCUACCAAGGCGACGAUCCAUAGCUGGUCUGAGAGGAUGAUCAGCCACACUGGGACUGAGACACGGCCCAGACUCCUACGGGAGGCAGCAGUGGGGAAUAUUGGACAAUGGGCGAAAGCCUGAUCCAGCAAUGCCGCGUGAGUGAUGAAGGCCUUAGGGUUGUAAAGCUCUUUUACCCGGGAUGAUAAGGACAGUACCGGGAGAAUAAGCUCCGGCUAACUCCGU